UGCUUAGUACGGCGAGUGAGCGGCAAAAGCUCAAAUUUGAAAUCUGGUACCUUCGGUGCCCGAGUUGUAAUUUGGAGAGGGCAACUUUGGGGCCGUUCCUUGUCUAUGUUCCUUGGAACAGGACGUCAUAGAGGGUGAGAAUCCCGUGUGGCGAGGAGUGCGGUUCUUUGUAAAGUGCCUUCGAAGAGUCGAGUUGUUUGGGAAUGCAGCUCUAAGUGGGUGGUAAAUUCCAUCUAAAGCUAAAUAUUGGCGAGAGACCGAUAGCGAACAAGUACAGUGAUGGAAAGAUGAAAAGAACUUUGAAAAGAGAGUGAAAAAGUACGUGAAAUUGUUGAAAGGGAAGGGCAUUUGAUCAGACAUGGUGUUUUGUGCCCUCUGCUCCUUGUGGGUAGGGGAAUCUCGCAUUUCACUGGGCCAGCAUCAGUUUUGGUGGCAGGAUAAAUCCAUAGGAAUGUAGCUUGCCUCGGUAAGUAUUAUAGCCUGUGGGAAUACUGCCAGCUGGGACUGAGGACUGCGACGUAAGUCAAGGAUGCUGGCAUAAUGGUUAUAUGCCGCCCGUCUUGAAAAAGGA
This 571-nucleotide ribosomal RNA is filed under the name Saccharomyces cerevisiae (brewer's yeast). RNAcentral's name for it is "partial large subunit ribosomal RNA". It matches the Rfam family "Eukaryotic large subunit ribosomal RNA", at positions 76 to 665 of the family's 3401-position model. Lineage: Eukaryota; Fungi; Ascomycota; Saccharomycetes; Saccharomycetales; Saccharomycetaceae. The record is from RNAcentral.